GGGUUGUGAGGUUAAGCGACUAAGCGUACACGGUGGAUGCCCUGGCAGUCAGAGGCGAUGAAGGGCGUGCUAAUCUGCGAUAAGCGCCGGUAAGGUGAUAUGAACCGUUAUAACCGGCGAUACCCGAAUGGGGAAACCCAGUGUGAUUCGUCACACUAUCAUUAACUGAAUCCAUAGGUUAAUGAGGCGAACCGGGGGAACUGAAACAUCUAAGUACCCCGAGGAAAAGAAAUCAACCGAGAUUCCCCCAGUAGCGGCGAGCGAACGGGGAGGAGCCCAGAGCCUGAAUCAGCAUGUGUGUUAGUGGAAGCGUCUGGAAAGGCGCGCGAUACAGGGUGACAGCCCCGUACACAAAAGCGCAUGUGCUGUGAGCUCGAUGAGUAGGGCGGGACACGUGGUAUCCUGUCUGAAUAUGGGGGGACCAUCCUCCAAGGCUAAAUACUCCUGACUGACCGAUAGUGAACCAGUACCGUGAGGGAAAGGCGAAAAGAACCCCGGCGAGGGGAGUGAAAAAGAACCUGAAACCGUGUACGUACAAGCAGUGGGAGCACCCUUUGGGUGUGACUGCGUACCUUUUGUAUAAUGGGUCAGCGACUUAUAUUCUGUAGCAAGGUUAACCGAAUAGGGGAGCCGGAGGGAAACCGAGUCUUAACCGGGCGUUAAGUUGCAGGGUAUAGACCCGAAACCCGGUGAUCUAGCCAUGGGCAGGUUGAAGGUUGGGUAACACUAACUGGAGGACCGAACCGACUAAUGUUGAAAAAUUAGCGGAUGACCUGUGGCUGGGGGUGAAAGGCCAAUCAAACCGGGAGAUAGCUGGUUCUCCCCGAAAGCUAUUUAGGUAGCGCCUCGUGAAUUCAUCUCCGGGGGUAGAGCACUGUUUCGGCUAGGGGGCCAUCCCGGCUUACCAACCCGAUGCAAACUGCGAAUACCGGAGAAUGUUAUCACGGGAGACACACGGCGGGUGCUAACGUCCGUCGUGAAGAGGGAAACAACCCAGACCGCCAGCUAAGGUCCCAAAGUCAUGGUUAAGUGGGAAACGAUGUGGGAAGGCCCAGACAGCCAGGAUGUUGGCUUAGAAGCAGCCAUCAUUUAAAGAAAGCGUAAUAGCUCACUGGUCGAGUCGGCCUGCGCGGAAGAUGUAACGGGGCUAAACCAUGCACCGAAGCUGCGGCAGCGACACUGUGUGUUGUUGGGUAGGGGAGCGUUCUGUAAGCCUGUGAAGGUGUGUCGUGAGGCAUGCUGGAGGUAUCAGAAGUGCGAAUGCUGACAUAAGUAACGAUAAAGCGGGUGAAAAGCCCGCUCGCCGGAAGACCAAGGGUUCCUGUCCAACGUUAAUCGGGGCAGGGUGAGUCGACCCCUAAGGCGAGGCCGAAAGGCGUAGUCGAUGGGAAACGGGUUAAUAUUCCCGUACUUGGUGUUACUGCGAAGGGGGGACGGAGAAGGCUAUGUUGGCCGGGCGACGGUUGUCCCGGUUUAAGCGUGUAGGUGUGUGUUCCAGGUAAAUCCGGUUCACUUUAACACUGAGGCGUGACGACGAGGCACUACGGUGCUGAAGCAACAAAUGCCCUGCUUCCAGGAAAAGCCUCUAAGCAUCAGGUAACAUCAAAUCGUACCCCAAACCGACACAGGUGGUCAGGUAGAGAAUACCAAGGCGCUUGAGAGAAC
This 1665-nucleotide ribosomal RNA is filed under the name Salmonella enterica. Its description in RNAcentral is "partial 23S ribosomal RNA". It matches the Rfam family "Bacterial large subunit ribosomal RNA", at positions 1 to 1699 of the family's 2925-position model. Lineage: Bacteria; Pseudomonadati; Pseudomonadota; Gammaproteobacteria; Enterobacterales; Enterobacteriaceae. The record is from RNAcentral.